GGGUUGUGAGGUUAAGCGACUAAGCGUACACGGUGGAUGCCCUGGCAGUCAGAGGCGAUGAAGGGCGUGCUAAUCUGCGAUAAGCGCCGGUAAGGUGAUAUGAACCGUUAUAACCGGCGAUACCCGAAUGGGGAAACCCAGUGUGACUCGUCACACUAUCAUUAACUGAAUCCAUAGGUUAAUGAGGCGAACCGGGGGAACUGAAACAUCUAAGUACCCCGAGGAAAAGAAAUCAACCGAGAUUCCCCCAGUAGCGGCGAGCGAACGGGGAGGAGCCCAGAGCCUGAAUCAGCAUGUGUGUUAGUGGAAGCGUCUGGAAAGGCGCGCGAUACAGGGUGACAGCCCCGUACACAAAAACGCAUGUGCUGUGAGCUCGAUGAGUAGGGCGGGACACGUGGUAUCCUGUCUGAAUAUGGGGGGACCAUCCUCCAAGGCUAAAUACUCCUGACUGACCGAUAGUGAACCAGUACCGUGAGGGAAAGGCGAAAAGAACCCCGGCGAGGGGAGUGAAAAAGAACCUGAAACCGUGUACGUACAAGCAGUGGGAGCACAGGUUUACCUG
This 562-nucleotide ribosomal RNA is filed under the name Salmonella enterica subsp. enterica serovar O rough. Its description in RNAcentral is "partial 23S ribosomal RNA". It matches the Rfam family "Bacterial large subunit ribosomal RNA", at positions 1 to 591 of the family's 2925-position model. Lineage: Bacteria; Pseudomonadati; Pseudomonadota; Gammaproteobacteria; Enterobacterales; Enterobacteriaceae. The record is from RNAcentral.